UACAGAGGUCACAAGCGUUGUUCGGAUUCAUUGGGCGUAAAGGGUGCGUAGGCGGCGCGGUAAGUCGGGUGUGAAAUCUCGGAGCUUAACUCCGAAACUGCAUUCGAUACUGCCGUGCUUGAGGACUGGAGAGGAGACUGGAAUUUACGGUGUAGCGGUGAAAUGCGUAGAUAUCGUAAGGAAGACCAGUGGCGAAGGCGGGUCUCUGGACAGUUCCUGACGCUGAGGCACGAAGGCCAGGGGAGCAAACGGG
This 253-nucleotide ribosomal RNA is filed under the name uncultured bacterium. RNAcentral describes it as "partial 16S ribosomal RNA". It matches the Rfam family "Bacterial small subunit ribosomal RNA", at positions 524 to 776 of the family's 1533-position model. The record is from RNAcentral.